GAAUUAUUUAACAAUCUGCCAAAAAGAAGAAAAUUAAAUUCCGAUGAAAAAGAAGAUGUUUGUCUUCUUUUGAGUAUGCACGGAAACAAGUGGCUUAUUAAAGAUCAAGUUAUGAAGGAAACAGGUAAAAAAGUUACUCUAAAAGAUCUUCAUAACUUAGCUGCAAAACAGAAAGGUACCACAGAUUUAAAAUCACUAUUUGCAGUCUUUCAAGAAUGUAAUGUUUAAAAGACCAGGUUGCAGUGGUGAAGUUGAAAGCAAUACAGUACA
Hydra vulgaris (swiftwater hydra) is the source of this 270-nucleotide non-coding RNA. The record is from RefSeq and is a predicted model, not a curated record. Lineage: Eukaryota; Metazoa; Cnidaria; Hydrozoa; Anthoathecata; Hydridae.